RNAcentral lists this ribosomal RNA (596 nucleotides) under Penicillium sp. W19. RNAcentral describes it as "eukaryotic LSU rRNA". The stretch from base 201 to 343 matches the Rfam family "5.8S ribosomal RNA". The record is from RNAcentral. Lineage: Eukaryota; Fungi; Ascomycota; Eurotiomycetes; Eurotiales; Aspergillaceae.
GUGAACCUGCGGAGGAUCAUUACCGAGUGAGGGCCCUCGCGGGCCAAACCUCCCACCCUUGUCUCUAAUACACCUGUUGCUUUGGCGGGCCCGCCUUAACUGGCCGCCGGGGGGCUUACGCCCCCGGGCCCGCGCCCGCCGAAGACACCCUCGAACUCUGUCUGAAGAUUGUAGUCUGAGUGAAAAUAUAAAUUAUUUAAAACUUUCAACAAUGAUCUCUUGGUUCCGCAUCGAUGAGAACGCAGCGAAUGCGAUAAGUAUGUGAAUGCAGAUCCGUGGAUCAUCGAUCUUCAACGCACAUUGCGCCCCUUGUAUUCCGGGGGGCAUGCCUGUCCGAGCGUCAUUUCUGCCCUAAGCACGGCUUGUUUUGGUUGUGUCCCCCGGGACCUGGGGGGACGGGCCCGAAAGGCAGCGGCGGCACCGCGUCCGGUCCUCGAGCGUAUGGGGCUUUGUCUUCCGCUCUGUAGGCCCGGCCGGCGCCCGCCGAUGAACCCCAAUUUUUAUCCAGGUUGACCUCGGAUCAGGAGGAGUUACCGCUGAACUUAAGCAUAUCAAUAAGCGGAGGAAAAGAAACCAACCGGGAUUGCCUCAGUAAC